Molecule: long non-coding RNA, 279 nt
Filed under: Actinidia chinensis (golden kiwifruit)
Lineage: Eukaryota; Viridiplantae; Streptophyta; Magnoliopsida; Ericales; Actinidiaceae
Description: long non-coding RNA (ACHI_LNC008378)
Source: RNAcentral
GACGAGUCCGCUUCCACAGAUAGACCCUAUUCCCCCGCUACCUGAAAAAGACUUCUAGAGAGAGAAGAAAGAGGAGAGAGAGAGCUCUCUGUUUGUGUGGUCAGUUGUCUAUUCUCUACGGUACGAAUCACAACAUUCUCUGGUGAACAAUCACGUCAACCACCCUUUGAUCUUUUCCUCUUGCUCUUGGUCAUCUGGGUUUUCGUUUUUUUUCAUAUUGGGUGAUUUGUUUUUGAAUUGAGUUUUGUCAUUGUUCACCGUAUCAACCUCCCAUUUAUC